AGCGCGCAUGUGCAGUGCGCGCCACACGCGUUACCUCAGAGCGGUGGGUGUUACGGACGGCGAAUGUGUCGGUGUUUAACUCUUGAAGCUCCCGUUUGGGGAACAGAGGUGCUUCGUUCCGAGGUUUGUGUGCUCGGGGAGCGGAGCCCUCCUCGCUGUCCCCUCAGUGUGCCCUUGAGGCGGCUGAAACCCCCGCGGGAAAGAGGCACGUCAGCAAAGCGCCUUCUGCCUCCCUUCAGCGUUCCCGCUGUGCCGUGUGGAGACGGUUCAGUCAGCCCUAGCUGCCGAAACACCCACCUCAGCUCCCAGCACGCGGGAAGCAUAACACGACCUGGCUCAAGAAGGGAGCUGCGGAAACGGAACACAUCCCAAGGGAUGAGAGCACUUCUCGAAGAGGAGAUCCCUCGCCGAAGAUCUUUGGCAGUACCAGUAAUUAUGCUGAGAAAACAAGCCUAAACUGUCACCACAAACAGAUUGGGGUUUUGUUCUACAGCCCCUUCCAUGAUCAGUAAGAGACUGUACCAACUGAAAAGUUCUGGUGAGAGAUUUAAAAUCAUAUCUGAGGUGUUUUGUAGAGAUCUACGAACCUGAAUUCACAGAUUCAGUAGAAAAUGAAAGACUUUUUUUUUUUUUUUUUUUUUUUUAAUGCUACUCUCUCCUCUUGAAAUCUAGGUUUUCCAUAGCUGUGGGUUUGGGUUUUGGCUCGCUUUUUUUUUUUUUUUGACAUGAACUCUCUGUCUAUAAAUAUCUGGGGAGAUUCUUCUCAUUAUUUCCCUCCUAUGUGAGCUUGACAAGAAAAAAUCUAAUCACCAUUCAGGAAACGACAAAACAGGUUUACUUGAUACGUUCUGCAGUACAGCUGUGAAUAUGGCACAGGACACUGAAAGGUCAAAGGGCUUAUACUCCACCACGACUGAUCUCACAUCCUCUCGCAAUAUCAGAUUUGCUGGUUCUGUAAAAGCACAGGUAUUUGCACAGCUGAAAUACUACAAAAUAGUUUCAGCCCAAGGGGAGGUGGGAGGAAAAAAAUGAUAUUUACAGUUCCAAGGAGGUUUCGAUUUCCCCUUUCCCUAGCGGUACAGUUUUGUUUUCUGCAAGAUUUCAACUGUUGUAACCAGAACUUUGAGCGCUAGAUCGCUUGAUCCAAACAUCAGGCAUGUCUGGUUGGCUGUUCGGUAACACAACGGGCCCUUCACUCCCUAAUCCAAAUCGAUUUUUCCACGAAGAGCUGUUCUGCUGCGAUGCUGCUGGAGAGAUAUCAAAGACAGUCUCCCUCAGGUCCAGACGCAGUGUAUCUCUCUUCCCGUUCAAGUAGCCUCUCUCUGUUUGACUGUACGAAUCAGAGAGCUCUAAGACAUCAGGACAAGAACUGGCUGAUUCAGCGAGCUUUAGGCCUUGUUCAAAAUCACUAAUCGAUGUCUCACUGGAGAUGUUGAGCAUGUCAAAAGAGCUGCCAAGAGAACAAAGGCAUCUGUGAAUUUUGUAGAUGUCAGCAGCAGGAAGAUGGCUGUUGUCUGAGGUAUAAUCCGACUGCUGCUGGGCAGUGUCAGUGGAGCACUGUGAUUUAUUGAGCUGCCCUUCUUCAUUCACACCAGCUGGCUGAAUAUAGUCCAGCCCAGAACUAUCCCAAGCUUUUGGGCUGUAUUUCCGACACUGACAAUCUCUGCAUAACCUCUCCCUGUGAAUUUCUGCUCCUGAGCUGCUGUGCUUGUAAGGAGAGGAAGUUUGCAAGGCAGGACACUGGCACAGGACAGCCUGGUCAUCUCCAAGGUUCUCUUGCAGAUUCUGUCUCUCUCUUUCAAGGGGAGGGUGCGUUCCUAUUCUCGGGCACCUGUUAUCUUCAGCUUGCAUGUCUUCAGAGAGCACUGAUGGCCUGUUGGACAGCUUGCUUGUGGAUGUGCUGUUGUCAAAACUGUCGCUGAGUUUUCUGGACAAAGGCUGGAGCUCGUAUUGCUCAUUUGCAGUGUUGGACUCCUGGACCUUCCGCAGUCGGUUUUGCUUCUCAUUUCCCCCACAGGCAUAGGUUCCAUUUGGCUCAGAGUCAUCAGAAUAAUCUUUUAUGGUGUGGGCGCAAGGCCAAAGGAUCUGCCCGCAGUUCUUCUCCGGGCCAAAGAAGCAGCACAGUGACUGGAAGAAGAAGCUGGCAAACCCACAGCUGAUACACUUGAUCAUCAUUAUAAAUAUGCCCAACUUUCUAUAGGCCAGGACUGUAGCGGGCAACAUAAUGACUCCUGCAGAGAACAAGGCAGAUGCUGCCAUCGCGGUGGCACAGCUCAUCUGCUUCAGGGAAAAGGCCACUCGGCUCAGGCGGUCCGAAUGGGGGCACAGGUGGUAGGAGAUACAGUAGUUGACGGUAAAGUCAACAGAGAGACCUACUGCAGCUGAAAUGAAGAGAGACUCCACUGCGUUGAGCUGCCACUCCAAGAGGACCAAAAGGCCAACGGUUACCAGGACAGUGCCUGCAAUGGCAGUCACAGAGAAAACACUAAGGAGAACAUUCCAGGUAGUGAGCAGCAGCACCACAAAAGAAAUGGCAAUAGAGAGCCCCAUGACCACCAUUGUUUCUGUGCUGAGACUGUGCUGGAGGUUGUAUAGCUCUAGUUUACUGGUAAACCACCCAUUCUGAAGUCCCACAGGGGCAGUUUUCAUUUCUUCUGUUACCCAGAGGUUGAUUUCUUCAUAGAAGUGUUUGGCUUUGCUGUAAUUGAAGCUAUAGUGAUAAACAGUUUGAAACUGCAGUACUAAGGCAGCAAGAUUUCCCUCUCCAUCAAAUCUGAGGCCCAGAUCGUAUGUUUCUGCCCCUUCCCUGCCUUGUUCCAGGAGCAUCAUUUUGAUGCAGUGUAGGAAGACUUCGCUUCCAUAAGGGAAAGAGAACUGGUUACAGCACAGGCUGAAGCUGUUGUCUCUCUGGGAGCACUGGCGACUAUCCAUCCACCUGACAAACUCCUCCAUGAAACACACAGUAGAUUUCUGCUCUGUAUCAAGGUAAUAGAAAGUUUGGUUCUUCACCUUUUGACAGAAUUCAAAGAGCCACUUCUGGGCAUCGGGACUUUGGAUAGUGAAGGUGGCAUCUGCCACCAGGGUGCCAUUGCUUUUUGGAUUGAAAUGGUCCCCAUUAUCCACAGGCAGGAUACCCCAGAUGAUAGUGACAGGCAUACGCUGCCCUUCUCCACGCUCUAGCCUCUCAAACAUGAACUGAUGGCAGUACUCAGAGUCGUACCUCUCAAAGGGGUGGCUCAGUCUGAACACCUGGACAGACGACGACUCAAGAGUUGGGAGUUUGAGUUUUGGGUUGGAACAGGAGAUGUAGGCACCUCCGAUUGCUAAGGCGGCAAACCAGCAGAUCCAGAUGUACCGAAACUUGAUGACCCCACAAGGCAAAAGCUUUUCAAAUAACAACUUGGAGGUUUCGCACAACGUCUUCUGGAGACCCCUGAGAACAUAGUGGAGGGAGAGAGCGACUCUCUUGUGGCCGGUGUUUUUCCAGUAGUCUUCCGGCUUGUAAACGCAGGUUGUCGCAAUGUAGCGCUCGUACAGCACAGCCGAAGAAGGAAGCCAAGUCAUCAUGAAUACGAGAUUCACCAGGACGGAGGUGCCCAUGUAAACAGCAAAGCAGCGGAUGGCUAUUAUGUUGCUAAUGUAGCUGGCGUAGAAGGCAGCACCCGUUGUGAAGCAGGAUGCCAGCAUGAGAUACGCAAAGUGGUGCAUGGUUUGACUCACCCGCUGUGAAAGCCCAGCAGAAGGGUUCUGGCUCUUGCUCAGGUUCCAGAGGUCAAAGAAGACGAAGGUGUGGUUGGCACAAAUGCUGCUGAGAAUGAUAACAGCCGUCAGGUUUACAAAAGGGAAGUAGGUGAAUCUGAAGGCCACCUUGUACAAGAAGUAGGAGAUCAUCAAAGAGCUGACGACAGUGAGCAGGACCAUCAAGGUAAUAAAGACCGAGCGUAAAUAGAAAGAAACGCUUAGAAAAAUAGCUAAUAUUGCCAGAACUGGAUACUUAGUAUCCAGUAAAAGAUAGUGCUGGAAUAGUUUCUGUUUAAGGCCCAAGUCCAUUCCAGUGAUAGAUGUAUAGUUAUCAAAUAGAUCCCAGGAUUCAAGAUUGUCUAAGUAGAUCCCCAUCAUAGAUGCACCUUUCCUUGUAGGCAAAAAGAGCAGGCUGUACUUGAGGGAUGGCACUUGGUACUCAAUUGUCUGGGGACUAAGAAAGUCUCUGUCGACCAAGAAGUGAAGAAGCUGGUAAAUAGCAUUGAAGCGGGUACAUUUUUCUGGGACUUUGGCACACUGAGAGUGUUUCUGUCUCAUGGUCUCAGGACCAAUGCAAGAUGGAGUGAGGAUACCUUUGUGGUAGUCUGGAGCGCAGGCACGAAGGAGGGCCAGGGUGUGGGAAAUGUCUCCUUGAGUUAUCUCCAGACAAGAAGACCUGUUGUACAGGACAGCAAUGUAGUUCCCCAGAGACCAGCUCGGGCAGCAUUCAUUGGCUUCAGUACGUUGGCAGAGGUCUCUAAAAUGUACAUGUGAGCGUAUCUGAAAAACAGCCAAGGGAACAUCAGGUGAGGUCCAUUCUGCACACUUCAUCUUGCUCCUCACAGUAACCCUUCCCUCCAGCCAUACAAGCCAUGGCUCUCAGUGACGAACUGCACAUGCUAAAGCAAUUGAGGCACACUAGCCUUCUGCCAAAAAAGAAACCCUGUCCAUUAUUUAUAGGUUAUAGCCUCUGAUUUGAAAAUGUGGAUCCUUCUCCACUAUUGUAGUGACAGCAUUGCCCUUAGUUUUGCAGGUGCUCUCAAGGCUAGUACAGAAGGGGGAGACAUUUUCUACUGAUCUUAUUUUAUAUUUACUUUUUUUAUUUUUUUACUCCUUAUAUUAUUACUAGAUUUUCCAGUAGAAUCACUGACAGCCAAAGAGAUUAUGUGCAGUCCUCCAAGGCACACAGUCUUGUUGUCUUACCUGUUAUGCCUUGGGACUUCUUGCUCUGUGUGUUUCUCCACUGCAAGCAUUACUGUGCUGGCAGCUGCAGAUGCACCACAGCAGCUCAGGUGUGUCUGACAACAUGACUAGCACUACUGAGUGUGCAAUAUGCAGUUAUGUGGAUGGGUCUGGGAGCCUGCACCCUCUGUGUGCUGUGGGAUGGUUUAAAACCUAGUUUGGCUACAGCUCCCAUGGCUGUGUAUCUGGCACGGUGUAGUGUGAACACAGAGCCUCCUGCCAGCAGGAUGUCAGGCUCUUGCAGCGGAGGUUUCCUGGAGUCUUAUCACUUAGAGUUGUUCAAGAUCCUAUGGCAAACACAACUAAUCCUAUUAAACGUCCCUCUUAAAAAACUCACUGUGGCAGUCUCCAGGACAACAGCUCCAUUUUGGUAAUUAGGUUCUGCUGCUCAACAUUCUCAACAGCUUCUGAUGAAUGUCUUUGGCUUCUGGACAAGGUUUUUGCCCAGUGACUGUGUAUUCUUGUUUAAUGGCAGCUGGACUUCAGGGAUAGGUGAAAUCAUUCUUAUGUUGCUAGGUAGGUAAAAUGCUCUGGAGUUCUCUAGGCUGAAACCUGAUCUGUAGCUUAUGUUGUUUUUUUUGCCUUCCUUUCAGCUAAAUAUUCGAGAUGAUGACAGUCAGAAAAGUGACAAUAUGUAUAUAUGUUCUUUGUGACAUUACUAACCUUGUCUUGUUCAAUUUGACACAUGGACUGAAUAGCUUGCAAGUUCCAUAAGCUCCCAGCAGUUGUGGACAUAAAUACCAGCUGGGAAUAGCCUUUCUCUGAAAGAAAAGAAAAUUAAAAAGAACAGAAAAAAAACCAACAGAGUAUUAGGUAAUGAAGAUGAGUUAACCAAGCUGGUUGGAGUAGACCCUUUGGGCAUUGAAAUAAAUAAAUAAAUAAAUAAAUAAAUAAAUCUUUCUGUCUCUAAGACUGCUGUGGAGGACUCCCUGAAGGGAACCAGGUCAUGAAGCAGCUUGUAGUGAGUGGUAGCAUCCCCAUGUGUGAUCUGACCUCUGCUCCUCGCCCAGCUGUCAGCAGCAGGAGAGCAAGGAUGGAGCAUUUUCAAAAUACACUCUCAGUGCUGUCAGCGUGCUUUCAGUGAGUGUUGCCAUCUGGUUCUGCACCCCCUCUUAGAGAGUGAGGAGCUGAAGUCCAGCCAAGAAUUCUCAAGGCCCCGAGGGUUUGGUGUUUGACUGAUUUCAUAAGUGGAGUUGAGGCAGGGGAGGGAGUCAGAAUAUCUGCAUGCUGUUCCUCUUUCUUCUAUUUAUUAACAAAUUCGGGGUAUCUUGGAGUGGUGGUGGUAUUUUUUUUUCCUUCCAAUUUUUCACUAUCAUAUGUAUUUCAAGAAGAAAAGAAGGAAGGGGACUGGUAUUGCGUGUACUGCUUUCUCAGAGUGCUUCCAGAACGUUUCCCAGUGUCCUAAACCACUUUGGCAAUUCUGUACGCUGUUGAAUUCUGGGUGCACAAUGCAUACCAUUCCGUCACGACUCCACUCACCUGGAGGACCACAAAAGAAACCAUCUACUCCAUAGAUUUGUUCCACCAUUCUCCGUGUUCUCGCUUCUUGUCCUCCCUGAACAGCCUUUUGUCCUCUGCUAAUGCCAAUGUCAUCGUAGCUAGCAAGAGAUGAUAUAAUUUGUGUAGGUAGAGAGAUCAGCUGGCAAUGAUUGAUGUUGACUAGCGAGUCUCUGGUAAACAGUGAAGUAAACACAUGGAGAGUUUACAGCCUAAUUCCUGGCUUCCAGAGGAGGGAGUCCAAGCCCAUCGCAAGGCAACAGACUUUAAACCCUCCAGGGUUCGGCUGCUUUUUAGCACAGAACAUACACUGUAAUUUGCAUAGGUAUCUUGGAACAGUGCAUCGGUACCUUUAUACCCAACGUUUUCCUCAAAGCCCCCACACCAAGUGCAAAUACCUUUUCUUCUCAGCGUAUGGAGAAAGGGAAAAGGUCUUCUUGUAGCCCGUAUGGCUCUCUACAUUCCUCCAUACGAUGAGCUUUCUGCCAAUGUCGGUAUCUCGUGGCUCAAAACCCUGCAGCCAAGCAAAAGGGUUUUAUCAUUAGCUUAUAUUUUCGCUUAGCUUAGCAUUCCUUAAUGCUUCUCCUAGACACAGAAACUAUAUGAGACUAUUUGAGAUGAUUACUGCAUCUUGGAGAGAUACACGCAUUGAUUUUUCCCUGGAAAUACUGCAUCCAAGAGAUAAGAGGAAAAAAAUACAUUUCUCCUUUCCUUUUUGGGUGAGGAUGGCUAUAGUGUGAGUCCUCAGCACUGCAGAGAUGGGCUGGUGGUUGUUGUUGGCACAGGGUGUGCUCCCUAGCCCACCUCAAGAGUGAAGCCCAGCCCUCCCGCAGCUGCCAAGUGCAACCCAAACUUUGCUGUGCCCCAGUCCUGAGAGAUGCACUCUCUCUGAGGAGGGAGGUCUGGAGAUGCAUCUCUGUAGGCUGGAGCAAAUGCUCCUCAGGAGGGAGAUGGCGUGUUUAGAAGCUGAUGAGGACACACUACCAGAGCAACAUGCUGGGCCUCAGGAAGGGGACUUAAAACUGAAUACUAACAGAAUUGCUUCACCGGUGAGAGCUAUUAAGCAGUGCAGCAGUGAAAUAGCAAGGAAUGAAAGCCUUUCGCUAAUGAGUGAUGUCACUAUUUCUGUUUUUGUGACUGUGGUAUCAAAGAAACAGCAAGUACGGAGCAUUACUCUGAAACAUUAUGUCCAUCCAGAAGGAAUCUUGCUUUGGUUGCACACUGUGAAGAUGAGAGGGGAAAAGAUCACAGCAGAUCACUGAUAAACAUUGCCAUUUAUUUCUAGUUGCUUUAGUGUCCUCCUGUCCUGCCUUGCUGCCUCUAUCUGCAGAGAAGGAAGGAAGCAUAAGCUUGUUUUGUAUGGCAGAAAGAACACAUUACUAGUCGCCCUGUGGAUUUUCCUUCUGUUCACAAUGACAUAUUGCCUGCAGGGACUUACCAUCAGGGGUUCUGAGAAAUCCGGCAAAUUUCCAACAAGCAGGCCAGCUAAAGUGCAAAUCACAACUGUCACUGAACACAGCACCAGGACGGCAAUGGGCCACUCUGCGAUCAUUUGAGAGUAACUAGAAUCAACAGGAGGAGAAAGAAUGCAGCUGUUAGAGCCCUUCUGCUACUAGCAUGAAAGCUGCUGUUGAGCCAACAUAGAGCUAAUAAAAAGAAGUAGAAGGACUGGGGAUUUUCGGUUUGAGCAUUUGUUUGUUGAAAAGCUUAGAGGCUCUAGUACAGCUAUUGAUGAAUGUAUUAUACCUCCAACCAGGUGUUUGAAGGCAACUCUAAUUAACUCAGGUAACCACAUUUUGCCUCUCUACAUUUUCCUGCUUUUUCAAUCAGAAAUAAUAAAACCCAGACUCUUCCAUCCUAAGGCAAAAGGAAGCUUUAAAUAUUUAACUUAAAAGGCUGCAUUUAGAAGGAGCUUCUCUCUCACUUGCUUUCUUUUUUCCCAUUGUACAAUCUAAGCCAGUAUUUGUCUUGCUAAAAUAGCAGAUUUUCUGCCUGUGGACCCUGAGAAGUUUAGCUAUUCUGAAAGGUCUCCUGAAGAUAACUAUCUCAAGCAAGUCAUUAUUAUUGCUCUAAAUUCACUGAUUGUAUGAGGGCCUGCCUUACUGCUGAGAAAUACAUAGACACCUGCAAAGUUAAAAAAGGAUGGAAACCACUGAUCUGAUGUUUAACCACUGUUAGGAGUGUCAGCAGCAGUCCUGGAGUGGGCAGGUGGUUUCUGGAUCUGCAGGAUGAGUGAGUCUCACCCUGAUUGCAGCCUCAAAGCCAAACGCUGACCUUACAACAAAAGCACCUGCAAGUGCUGCAGACCAGGGUUUGGAGAACACACAAAACCCCAUAGGCUGGUGUGGUUUGGUGACCCUUCAAACAGCUUUUCAUGUGAGUUUAUGUCAGGCCUAUUCUGUUGUUUUUUUCCUUUCAAUUCAAGCCUCAUGAAUCCUUGUGCAUAGUCUUGCAACAAAGAUCUCUUCCACUGUAGCUUGUGAGAAAAUGCAGGACUCUACUGCUGUUGCUCCUGAUGUCCUUCUGAUUCCCCAUCUGGUGGGCCAAGCUGGAUUAAUCCAGUCAGUGUAACUAUAAAUAUAAAGCUGUCGUAUGGACUAGAGCCAGGUACCUGCUCUGAGAACAGCUAUCAAGGCAGCGUUGCUAUUCAUUAGUGCAGAUUGCACAAGCAAAUAGAGAUUUUUCCAGGCAGAUGAGAAGCACGGAGCAGGGAGCGCUGACCUUGCCUCUGAAACUGGGCCUGCUGGGGAGGUCAACAGCAUUGAUGCCCUGCAUUUCCUAUUAGCAGAGUAGGAGAGCCAUGAUAAUAGGGCAGAAGAACAGCAAGGAUUUGAUAUUAAGCAUACCUUUUGGGCAUCCUGAAAGCUUUGUCAUGUCUGCAGACAGAAAAAAAAGACAUACAUUUAUUAUUUUCCUGCCAAGCAUCAUCCUGGGCUCCCAAUGAGCCACUUAACCCCUUCAGAAGCUGAGCCAUUGCUGUGGGAGUUGUUUGGCACUACAUGGAUUUGUCUAAUGAAUAGCAGGGUCUUUCCCUCUCUCAUUGGCAUUUUAACCAAACCUGAUGGGAAUACUCUUAGUAACUCCUCUGUGUUGCCCCUCCAGAAAACACAAUAGAAUGUAAAGGACGUAAACAACAUAAUCCAAUAGGAAUCACCCUGUAACACCUAUCGAUGAAAAUCUAUCUGUUUCAAGUGCUUUCCUGCAGAAUUUUUAAAUUACUUCUUGGCAACAGCAUAACUCUGUGAAAUUUUAUGACUGGGGCUAACAAUGCCUAUAGUUUUUAUUUCCUGUUCAACUCAACAAGGAUUUUCCAGAGAGUCAAUCUCAUUUGUUUCCUGAGAUUUGUCCAGUCUAGAGGGAAAGGAGGCCAGUGGAGCUGCUCAGAAUAUUUUUCCGGUGUUUCUACUGCAGAGCAGCUCUUGUCAUUAUUUGUAGAGCUCUGAGGGAUAAAAGAAAGAAGCCUUCCCGAGGGGAUCCAAGGUUACCUUUAUUAAUGAAUCCCCAAAGGCAAUCUUAACAGAAAAGCUGUAUUUCAGUGGUCACCAUAUCUGAAGGGCCUUUCCUUCUGCUCUCCAUUUCCAGCUGAGAUGUCUCCCUGAAAUGCAUGGUCGCCUCAUCACUCUAAUGCUCCACAGAGUUGAGAGAGAGGGGAGCAGAGAAAAAUUCUCAUAGAUUAUUAAAGAGGAGUCUCUAUUUAGCUGCACACUGCCUGUCUUUUGUUAAUUCUUCCACAAUAGCUUCUCAAGCAGAAUUGCUCAGGCUAAAAACCUUAUUCUAUGAUUGUUGUAACAUCACUUCUCUGCCUGCUAGUGCUGCACAUUCUGCCAGUGAUUUGCAGACCAGCUGCAUUUCCUGCUUCAGUAACCUGUUAGAGAGAAAGCAGCUGACAAUUUUGUUGAUGCAAUAUCGAUGCAAAUGCAAACACAAACAAAUUAAAUCCUCUGUUAAUGGUUAGAAAAUGAGACCAUAAAGGACUUUUGUGCCUAACCCUGCACUACUGUAAAAAAGCAAGGAAUCCUAUACCACUGGACUUUGCUUGCUGACUACUGCUUGUUGCAAAGCAACCUGGAAGACCAAGUCGUAUUCCCCAACUUUGUAUUUCUAACUGUAUUUCCCUCACCUCCAUCAUAGGCAGCAGCUUCAUUGGGAAUAGAAAAAGAAAUUAACCAUGCUCUUAUCUCUCAGAAACUCUGCCAAGAUAAAGGAUUAGCCAGCUGGCUAUCUUGCAGUGCAAAUGGAGAAAAGGGGAGGAUCACAGAAGAUGGGCAUGAUCACAGCUGGAUGACGCAGGAGUAACAGAGUGACCUUGGCUCUAUUCAACAGGUCACCUUGAGAAGGAAAUCCUGACUCUCCCAGGUGCGGGAAUGGCAGCUCUGUAUGUUCCUAAUGGGUGGAGAGAGAAAAUUCUCUCUAUAUAUAUUUUUGGGGGCAUCUACUGCUUCAAACUGGUGAGCAAGAUCACUCAGAGCCUUCUGAUCCUGUCCGAGAGUUCAGGAGAUGCCUCCUGAAAACUGCUGAGCCGCUCUCCACGUGCAUCUUACCUGACUGUUACAAUGUGGUGCUGCAUUGGCCGAGAGAGUCGCUGCCCAGGAGACCACCGUUUCCAGGGGGUUUCCAAAGCCUCAUGAUGAGAAGCUGGCACAGGAUCACUGCUGGAAAGGUGGGAACACAAUGUGGACCUCUCACCAUGCCCAGGGAGCAGGGGCAGGCCGUAGCUGCCUCGGGGCUCCUGCUGGUUGCAGGAGUAAUACAGGUGAUGCUGUUGCGAGUCCUGGGAGCUCGACGGUACCUGACCAUUGGACUGGGUGGAGAUUGGCCCCAGCGUGUGGCUGGAGGAGGGCAGGUGGUCUCCCCCCAGCCUGGGCGAUGCAGGAAUGGGGCAGUGAUGGACCGGACAGAUUCUUUCCCAAGAAGUGCCACUGUAGCUGGGCUCAGUGUUGGCAAUCUCUGGCAUGGCGAGACAGGUCUGGCAAGGUCCUGCAUUUCUUUUUUCUCUGUGAGGAAAUAAAGGGAUGGUAAAACUUUUCUCUGUUACAACACCAGAAAGGCUAUGCUGGGGAAUUGCACCUUGUCUCCCACUUAAUGCAAGACGUAAAACCUCACCCUCUGUUUACUGUAUCAAGAGCCAGGGCUGAGCUGAACCAUGCUUUUUACAGAAAUAUCCAUGCCUCACUCAUGGAGUGCAGCUGAUGGUGAAUCCAUCAUAUCUUUGUGCAUGUUAUUCUAAAAUUAUGAAAAAUAGUAUAACAUGCCCUUGAACAGUUUUCAGCUCCUGUAAUGGCUAUGGUUUUAGAAACCAGGUAUGGCUGCAACGUAUGGGCAGAGUAAAGUUAAUUAGAUGCUUAUGGCAUUUAAUUAGAUGGGCCUCCUUACUCCUUAUUUCUUCCAAGGCAUUUCAGUGCAAAAGGGGCAAAACACGCUGGCUGGUGAUAAAGGCAGGGUCCUAAUGCGGAAGCACAGAGUAAUUACAGAGAUCUGAGUCAGUCUUUGUGAGAGCAAGAAAACCCUUCACACACCGUAGGAUAAGGUCACACUGGCCCAAAAAUACCUUUGAAAUUACCAUCUCAGUGUCAGGGAGCUUCAGAAGCACUGUGCAAUUUGGAGUUCAGAAAGCAAGAAUGAUAUGGAAACACCUACAGUCUCUGGUGGUCGAUCAGAGAACGUGCUGUGGUGUCUACAGCUGAGUUAUAUGCCUGCUGUAGUGUCUGGCAUUGAGCAUUAAGUGUGAUGGAUGAUUUGGGCCAGCUAGAAUCACAAAGUGUUUUGAGUUGUCAGAGAAUUAUGAGUACUGGACUGAGACAAGAAUGAGAUGAACUUUAGCCUGAGGCGCCUGAUGAGAUGUGGAGAAAAACUGAAGACAAAAUAUGACUGAGAAGGGAAUAUUUUCAAAACUUUGCAGAGUUCAUCUCAUUUCUCUUUCAGACAGCCACGGAAAAAGACAGAAUGUUAGCAAUUACAAGUUUCUGGAAUUGUACCCGAAGUUAAAUAGUAGUAUCAAUGACAAAAGAGAUUUGAAGAUUUCUGUUAGCUCAGUACUGCUUGAAAAUUGCUAUUUUUUUCCAGAAAGGAGGACAUAUUGGCCUGGGCAGCUCAUGCUGUGUACUUUCCAACAUCAAUUGAGCUUAUCAACACUGGGAAACUAUAUUUCAUGAUUACACAGAAUGGUCUCGUUUCACUAAAAUCAUUACGACAGAGCAAUGUUUGCAGUAGCAGUUAUACCAAUGCUGGUAUGGAGAUUCCUGGCACAGGCAUCCCACUCACUGCUACUUGCACACAGAACCUGUCCAGGGACUAGUAACAAAGAUAUCUUGCCUAGUCAGACACCAUCCAAUGCUAGUUUUAGUUUUUAGUUAUGUAGUUACAGACAGAGAUGACAUAGUCAAGGUUGCUUAUCACAACAUCAUUGACUUUGGAAGCAAUAACUGAUGUUCACAUGCAGGUUUUGGGUCAUGAAACUGGCAAAAUAUCAAAACAGUUAGCAAAUGCCACUGUCUGUGUGAGCUCUGCAUCCCUGGGAGAGGUACAUCCAAAGGGAGGAAAGUCAGACAGGAUCUGUGAGACCACUGAUGUUUCUUAUGGCAGCAGAUGUACAAAUUGGUGGCAACGAGCCAAAGUUUGCACUGAAGCAAGUGCCAGAAAACCUGCAGACAGAUGUGUGCACACCUCAUUGAUAAGCUUGACAGGUUUUUCUCAACAGUUCCAGCACUCAGCUGCCUCUGCUCUGCAAUACAAAGGACUAAUAAGACUUCAGCUAGCUCAGUGUAGUGAGAGGGAGUGCUGCUUGCAAAGCACGAGCUCCCGAACAGAUUGUGACAAUGAUAUCCCAUUCUCCCGCAGAGUUUGUCAAAAGAAAUAAUAUAAAACCCUGUCGCAUGAAGUCCUUGCUGUCCUUUCACAGAUGGAUUAGUGGCAGGAUUACCCAGACUUUCAAGCGAGUGAUUUGGGUUACAGCUCUAUGAAGGCAGCUUACAAGGAAGGCUACAAAUUUGUUGGUGGUGUAUACAAAUGCGCUGCACAAGACAAUAAAUCAGAUGUCAGCAAUGUGUUCAUGAGAUGGAAUCUGGAGCUUGCUGCAGCCUCAUCAAAGUCACCUGCACUGGGGAGAUUUGCAUGCGGCUGGACGGCUGCAGCAUAGAGCAGGUGCAACAAAGGCAGAGAAGGGAAAGCUUGUGGUCUGUGGUAGGCAAUGAAUGAAAUGGCAUAUUUAAUUAAUUACUGCCCAUUUACAGUAAUUGCAGAACCAACCAGCCAGGGACAUGGUAACCACCACAUCCUCCCUAUCUAUGGGAAGUGGCAGGGACGAGGUUUAUUUGCGAGAGUAUCACGCUUCCAUCCUUGAGAUAAAAGUGUAACUCCUCUCCCUUCUCCCAGGUUUCCAGCGCUUGAAGUGCAAGUUAAUUUUAUUUGGAGGCUUGUAGUUUUGUAUUAGCAGAGCUGAGGCACUGAAUUGUCAUCAUAGAUCUGGGACUGUGGUAGCAUUAUACUUUUGCAAGGUCUGGACCUCUCCUCACUCCCUUUUUGAUGUCUUUAAAUUAUUAUUUUCCCUCUACCUUCAGUGUAUCAUUUUCCCUAAUUUAGGUGCACCUUAAGUAAGAUGUUUUCCUAAAAUGCAUAAUAGUUCACAGAGACUACCCCACUGACCAUUUAUGCUUCUGGUAUUUCCACAUCUGUAAAAUGUGUUCUUUUUUUUUUUUUUUUUAAGUGAAAACAAAAUUCUUUUUCACGUAAACUGCUGGAUUUGCAUUGGCAGUGGGCACCAGAGGCUUUUCAUAACUGAGUUAGUCUGAAGACUGCACUGCCAUGUCUGCCCGCCACAUCUGUAACACUGGACAGGAGGAAAAGGCUUUCACCAGAAAAAAAACACUUUGAAGAUAAUCAGGGAAAUGCAAGAAACAUGUGCUGAAAAAUUCCACGUCCAAAGACCCUCAGCUACACAAUCUUCUGGUGGCAAAGGCAGGUGGCAAACCCUUGGAUAUCACACAUUGCUUCCAGUUUUUUUACACAACGUUAAUGUAUUCAAUGCUAAUAGUUAACAGGCAAGCCCACUCCCCUUGAUUAUCAUCUUUGCUGUGAAAUACUGUCAUGUUCUGUUCUUUCCCCUCAUGUGGUCUCAGCUCCAUCCCCUGGCUGCUCAGCGACUUCAUGUUUUAGAAUAACUUGAGCUAAUUCAAAUCAUUCACUCGUGACUCUUCUUCGUUAUCUCCUUUUCAGGCUGAACAAUUACAGUUCUGUCAAUCACACUCCAGAUCCAGGUUGCCUUAUGCACAUCUCCAACUCUGUGACAAUGUGACCUUGGUUAUCCAGAAUCUCCAGGGAAACCUGGAGCUCACAAAUAAUGAUAGUUUUGGAUAAUUACUGGUGGCAGGCCUGCAGGUUUUGAGUCUUCAGUUGCUAUUCUCUCAAUUAGCCAAGGUGCUGGCAGGCUUCACAUUUGAUCUGCUGAGAUCUGCACCAGAGAUGUAGGCUGGUCCUUGUUUGCCUGCCAUGCCUACCAGCAUGUCACUGUGACUUUUCUGGGCCUCUAGGACCCUGAAUUGUGUUUGAAAAAUGGUUGUGAGGGUGUUCCUGAUUGUUGUUUACUGUCAGACAGAAGAAGAGGUGGGCAAGAGCGUUACACUGGACUAACACCAGGGGAAGAGAAACCUUCUUUUGAAUGUUCAUUCCCAUUCAGGGCUGUGUCAGAUAUUUGACAUCUCUGGGAUGGUGUGGGCAGAAAUGGUCUCUCUGCCACAAAAGCCUACAAAAACAGCCUGACAACUUUUUUCUUCCUCAAGCUCAACUGGAUGCAAAGAGAUGCAGAGAAAAGGAAGAGGAGCUGUAUGGCAGGUGACAGGCUGGAACAAGCUGCUCCUGAGACCCACAGGAAUGAGUUGCAUUUGUCAUGCUGCUUCCCCCUCUCUUCCCUUGAGACGUCUAGACAAGAUAAUAAUCCAAUUUAUGAAACUGCCCAAGUCCCUCUAAGUGCAGCAACGCUUUUCCAAGGCAAGCAACAGUGCGCAGGCAGCCCACCAGAUGUGCAGGAACCAGCAAAAGGGCUGAAGCCUCUUCCCACAGUAAAACAGUCAGGAUAACACCAUUGUUAUUGCUUAUGUUUGCUUGUGCUGUUAAGGGGACGAGUGCAUGUAUCUGGAGAUUAUGGGAGGGCUUAUUGCAUUUCAUGCUCACCUAUUAUGUGGGUUCACUGCCCAGCUGGCAGUGAGGGAUGGGCACCUGUCAAGCAAUUCAUCUCCUCCUUUGGCAGGGUCAAAUUCUUGUUCACUGGAAAAUUUCUGUGUAGUUACUCCUUGUUUUGCUUUUUCAAUCUAGUAGCAAAAUAGCAUGUAUCCUUAAGAAGCCUUACAAUCUUUUUUUUUUUUUAAUUAGACUCCUGAGUAUGCUAAAUCUUCAUGAAAAAUUAAUGAGACUGAAAAGCUCUGCUUCCCACGUAGUCUGCCAAGAAAAGUUUAGUUUUAUUAUCCUUCCCAUUGACUCUUCUGAACAGCCUUACCCUCACCUCGGGCAGCUAGCAGUGUUGUGGGUACAGGUGUUUGUGAUGGGGUGCAAGCAGAAACAAAGGGCUCAGCCAUCCCCACCCAGUCUCCAGCUCCAGAAAGGUCUGGGUGCAGUUUGCUGUAUGUACCCUGGCAGUAUAAAAUGCACAGACAAAAAUCUGUGUUCUCGCCCCUAUUUUGAAGAAAAGAAAACAACACCUUACUAUCCCAGCCUUAGGAAGGUCAGAAAGAAGGUGUUGUUUAUCAAUGAUCAUUUCAGUCAAGCAUUGGCUUUGGCCAGAGGACAGGUGCUACAGAGGUAACCCUUUUGUGGCUACAUGAACAGCCUUGCAUAAAGAAGCAUUUAUGUAUAUGCUUGCUCAGGAGUCAGAGAACUAUCACCUUGCACUUUAUUGCCAUAAAUUUUAGUUCUUGAGUGUACAGCAUGAGAUAAAGUCAAAGCACCCAUUUCAGCUGGUCUAACUUGUAUCCAUAACUGAACUCCGACAGGCUGCAGCAUUCAUUUUAAAGGAUCUGUUCAAACGAGCAAGACAAGCAAAGCUAAUGGGGC
Molecule: long non-coding RNA, 16521 nt
Filed under: Gallus gallus (chicken)
Lineage: Eukaryota; Metazoa; Chordata; Aves; Galliformes; Phasianidae
Source: RNAcentral